UGCAAAUCCUUGUUAAAGUGA
This 21-nucleotide non-coding RNA is filed under the name Caenorhabditis elegans. The record is from RNAcentral. Lineage: Eukaryota; Metazoa; Nematoda; Chromadorea; Rhabditida; Rhabditidae.